AGCACCGAAUCCUUCACCAUCUCGGUGACAGGAAAUGUGGUGUUUAGGCCGUACCUUGUCCCGACACGUCUCUCCUCAAGUCCACUUGAUUGUGGCCCCAGGCCCAGAGAGGGUGUAAGGCCCGUGGAGGCGAGACGUUCGGUACCUGGUGCGUCCUUAGAGUCGGGUUGUUUGGGAAUGCAGCCCUAAGCGGGUGGUAAACUCCAUCCAAGGCUAAAUACCAGCACGAGUCCGAUAGCGAAGAAGUACCGCGAGGGAAGGUUGAAAAGAACUUUGAAGAGAGAGUUCAAGAGUACGUGAAACCGCUGAGAGGCAAACUGGUGGAACUGAAAUGGUCCCGAGGAAUUCAGCCGUUGGUCGUUGCACAGUCUUUGGUGAUUGAUCUAACGACGGCGCCAUUGAAUGACGUUUCGAUCAUCGGUGCACUUUCCUCGCCUGGGCCCGACCACGACCGGUGAGCUGAUCUGUCUGUCGUGCUUGGAAGAUAGCGCCGUCUUCGGAAGGCGUGUUAUAGACAGGCAUACGGAGCAGUCGGCGCACUGGAUGAUAGUGCCUGCCCAUCUGGGCUCAUAUGGUGGUUGUUUUGUUGGCGAGUUCUGAUGUCACUACUUCGGUAGAGUCGUUAGACUCUGUUGGCAUUAUGGCUGUCCUCUAUGAUUGGCACUGUUAAGUCUGUGGUUGUGAAGUAGGUAGUCCACCUGACCCGUCUUGAAACACGGACCAAGGAGUCUAACAUGUGCGCGAGUCAUUGGGUUCACGAAACCUAAAGGCGCAGUGAAGGUAAAGAUCUGUUUUGGCAGAUUGAGGUGGGAUGCCGGGUUACGCGCCCGGCCGCACUACCGGCCCGUUCUAUAUGUCUUUCAUAGGAGCGGAGCAAGAGCGUACACGUUGGGACCCGAAAGAUGGUGAACUAUGCUUGCGCAGGUCGAAGCCAGAG
Molecule: ribosomal RNA, 937 nt
Filed under: Thysanozoon brocchii
Lineage: Eukaryota; Metazoa; Platyhelminthes; Polycladida; Pseudocerotidae
Description: partial large subunit ribosomal RNA
Rfam family: Eukaryotic large subunit ribosomal RNA
Source: RNAcentral